UGGGGAAUAUUGGACAAUGGGCGCAAGCCUGAUCCAGCCAUGCCGCGUGAGUGAUGAAGGCCCUAGGGUUGUAAAGCUCUUUCACCGGUGAAGAUAAUGACGGUAACCGGAGAAGAAGCCCCGGCUAACUUCGUGCCAGCAGCCGCGGUAAUACGAAGGGGGCUAGCGUUGUUCGGAUUUACUGGGCGUAAAGCGCACGUAGGCGGACGAUUAAGUCAGGGGUGAAAUCCCGGGGCUCAACCCCGGAACUGCCUUUGAUACUGGUAGUCUUGAGUUCGAGAGAGGUGAGUGAAAUUCCGAGUGAAGAGGUGAAAUUCGUAGAUAUUCGGAGGAACACCAGUGCCGAAGGCGGCUAACGGGCUCGAUACUGACGCGGAGGUGCGAAAGCGUGGGGAGCAAACAGG
Molecule: ribosomal RNA, 404 nt
Filed under: Actinomycetes bacterium
Lineage: Bacteria; Bacillati; Actinomycetota; Actinomycetes
Description: Actinobacteria bacterium partial 16S ribosomal RNA
Rfam family: Bacterial small subunit ribosomal RNA
Source: RNAcentral